GUGCUCACUUUGGUAGCACAUAUAGAAUUGGGAUGAUAUAGAGAAGAUUAGUAUGGCCCCUGUGCAAGGAUGACAUGCAAAUUUGUGAAGCAUUCCAUUAAAAA
This 104-nucleotide small nuclear RNA is filed under the name Microcebus murinus (gray mouse lemur). Lineage: Eukaryota; Metazoa; Chordata; Mammalia; Primates; Cheirogaleidae. The record is from RNAcentral.